GGACUCGGGGGGAAGUAUGCUCGCAAGGGUGAAACUUAAAGGAAUUGACGGAAGGGCACCACCAGAUGUGGAGCCUGCGGCUUAAUUUGACUCAACACGCGAAAACUUACCAGGUCCAGACAUAGUAAGGAUUGACAGAUUGAAGUUCUUUCUUGAUUCUAUGCAUGGUGGUGCAUGGCCGUUCUUAGUUGGUGGAGUGAUUUGUCUGGUUAAUUCCGAUAACGAACGAGACCUCAGCCAUCUAACUAGCUGCCGCUAACGCGCUAGCGGUUCGCCGUUGCGCCUAGUGCUUACGCAAGUAAACGCAGCUUCUUAGAGGGACAAUCUGCGCUCAGCAGAUGGAAGUUUGAGGCAAUAACAGGUCAGUGAUGCCCUUAGAUGCUCUGGGCUGCACGCGCGCUACAAUGAUGCAUUCAACGAGCCGACCUGGCUUGAAAAGGCCGGGGAAUCUUCAAAGUGCAUCUUAGUGGGGAUAGAUGAUUGCAAUUGUUCAUCUUGAACAAGGAAUAUCUAGUAAACGCAAGUCAUCAACUUGCAUUGAAUACGUCCCUGCCCUUUGUACACACCGCCCGUCGCUCCUACCGAUUGAAUAAUACGGUGAAUUGAGUGGAUUGGGGGCUGCCGAGAGGCGGUUCCUUAGAAGCUCUGUAAACAUUAUUAUUUAGAGGAAGGAAAAGUCGUAACAAGG
RNAcentral lists this ribosomal RNA (688 nucleotides) under uncultured Haplosporidia. RNAcentral's name for it is "SSU rRNA". It matches the Rfam family "Eukaryotic small subunit ribosomal RNA", at positions 1109 to 1799 of the family's 1831-position model. The record is from RNAcentral. Lineage: Eukaryota; Endomyxa; Ascetosporea; Haplosporida.